AUUGAACGCUGGCGGCAGGCCUAACACAUGCAAGUCGAACGGCUGAAGGGUGAUUGCUCCUUGAUUCAGCUGCGGACGGGCGAGUAAUGCCUAGAAACAUGCGUAGUAAUUUUUUCUUAGGUCCGAACGCGGGCAAACAUACCGCAAACGUCCUGAGGGAGUAAGGGUGGGAUCUUGGGACCUCCCGCUAUCAGAUGAGCCUAGGUCGGAUUAGCUAGUUGGUGGGGUAAAGGCCUACCAAGGCGACGAUCCGUAGCUGGUCUGAGAGGAUGAUCAGCCACACUGGAACUGAGACACGGUCCAGACUCCUACGGGAGGCAGCAGUGGGGAAUAUUGGACAAUGGGCGCAAGCCUGAUCCAGCCAUGCCGCGUGGGUGAAGAAGGCCUUCGGGUUGUAAAGCCCUUUUGUUGGGAAAGAAGAGCAGUAAGUUAAUACCUCGCUGUUCUGACGGUACCCAAAGAAUAAGCACCGGCUAACUUCGUG
RNAcentral lists this ribosomal RNA (484 nucleotides) under uncultured bacterium. RNAcentral describes it as "partial 16S ribosomal RNA". It matches the Rfam family "Bacterial small subunit ribosomal RNA", at positions 30 to 507 of the family's 1533-position model. The record is from RNAcentral.